CGUGAGCAACCUGACUCGAAGAGGGGGACGAACAGGGCUGGAAACGGCUGGCUAAUACCGCAUAAGACCACAACGCGGCAUCGCGAAGGGGUCAAAGAAUUUCGCUUUGAGAGGGGCUCGCGUCCCAUUAGAUAGUUGGUGAGGUAACGGCCCACCAAGUCCGCGAUGGGUAGCCGAGCUGAGAGGCUGAUCGGCCACACUGGAACUGAGACACGGUCCAGACUCCUACGGGAGGCAGCAGUAGGGAAUAUUGGGCAAUGGGCGCAAGCCUUGACCCAGCAACGCCGCGUGAGGGAAGAAGGUUUUCGGAUUGUAAACCUCUGUCCUAUGUGACGAAGGAAGUGACGGUAGCAUAGGAGGAAGCCCCGGCUAACUACGUGCCAGCCGCAGC
RNAcentral lists this ribosomal RNA (391 nucleotides) under uncultured bacterium. RNAcentral describes it as "bacterial SSU rRNA". It matches the Rfam family "Bacterial small subunit ribosomal RNA", at positions 116 to 518 of the family's 1533-position model. The record is from RNAcentral.